UGGGGAAUAUUGCACAAUGGGCGAAAGCCUGAUGCAGCGACGCCGCGUGAGUGAAGAAGUAUUUCGGUAUUUAAAGCUCUAUCAGCAGGGAAGAAAAUGACGGUACCUGACUAAGAAGCCCCGGCUAACUACGUGCCAGCAGCCGCGGUAAUACGUAGGGGGCAAGCGUUAUCCGGAUUUACUGGGUGUAAAGGGAGCGUAGACGGCGAAGCAAGUCUGAAGUGAAAACCCAGGGCUCAACCCUGGGACUGCUUUGGAAACUGUUUUGCUAGAGUGUCGGAGAGGUAAGUGGAAUUCCUAGUGUAGCGGUGAAAUGCGUAGAUAUUAGGAGGAACACCAGUGGCGAAGGCGGCUUACUGGACGAUAACUGACGUUGAGGCUCGAAAGCGUGGGGAGCAAACAGG
Molecule: ribosomal RNA, 404 nt
Filed under: Fusobacteriota bacterium
Lineage: Bacteria; Fusobacteriati; Fusobacteriota
Description: Fusobacteria bacterium partial 16S ribosomal RNA
Rfam family: Bacterial small subunit ribosomal RNA
Source: RNAcentral